RNAcentral lists this ribosomal RNA (464 nucleotides) under Vreelandella stevensii. RNAcentral describes it as "partial 16S ribosomal RNA". It matches the Rfam family "Bacterial small subunit ribosomal RNA", at positions 338 to 794 of the family's 1533-position model. Lineage: Bacteria; Pseudomonadati; Pseudomonadota; Gammaproteobacteria; Oceanospirillales; Halomonadaceae. The record is from RNAcentral.
CCUACGGGGUGCAGCAGUGGGGAAUAUUGGACAAUGGGCGAAAGCCUGAUCCAGCCAUGCCGCGUGUGUGAAGAAGGCCUUCGGGUUGUAAAGCACUUUCAGUGGGGAAGAAAGCCUUGGGGCUAAUACCCUCGAGGAAGGACAUCACCCACAGAAGAAGCACCGGCUAACUCCGUGCCAGCAGCCGCGGUAAUACGGAGGGUGCGAGCGUUAAUCGGAAUUACUGGGCGUAAAGCGCGCGUAGGCGGUCUGAUAAGCCGGUUGUGAAAGCCCCGGGCUCAACCUGGGAACGGCAUCCGGAACUGUCAGGCUAGAGUGCAGGAGAGGAAGGUAGAAUUCCCGGUGUAGCGGUGAAAUGCGUAGAGAUCGGGAGGAAUACCAGUGGCGAAGGCGGCCUUCUGGACUGACACUGACGCUGAGGUGCGAAAGCGUGGGUAGCAAACAGGAUUAGAUACCCUGGUAGU